AGCAGCGCGGCCAGUCGCCGAGCGUCGCGUGGUAGACACGCGUUCAUGCAGGAAGCCACGUUGGCGAUCCACGAACCAACAGAUCCAACGGCCCAGAUCUCCUCUCGCGCACAUGGACGGCCUAGAUCUGUUUUCUCUUCAAGGGCGAUUGAACAACCAAAAUUAAUCCGAUCGUGCGACCCAAAUUAAUUCUCCAAAUAAGAGCGAUCCAACGGCUGAGAGUGGGCCACGUGUCCUUGCACAAAUGGCCCAGAUCGAGGCGGAGAGGAUAUUUAAACGUCGCUUCUCAGAAAACCCUAACCCCAAUCGUAUCUAACCCCACCAGAUAAGAAGAAGAAGGGCGGCCGGAAGGAAAGCCGAUUACUAUUGUCACUGCACCAGAGCUGCGGCCGACACCGGGGAGGUAAGUUUUUUCUCAUUUUCACUUCAGAAUUUGAUUUUAAGUCUCCUCACACCCACAUCGGCACUAAAAAUCCAAAAGUGAAGUCAGAAACUGAGAGUGGAGCUCGACCGAGCCGCUGCGGCCGCAAUCCAAAAAUUGCUCCGAUGAGCCCGAUCCUACUUCCCGUUUCCUUCAAUCUUUCGACCCUUGAAUUCCUAACAUAUUUUUGGUGCAGG
This 618-nucleotide long non-coding RNA is filed under the name Carica papaya (papaya). Its description in RNAcentral is "long non-coding RNA (CPAP_LNC013848)". Lineage: Eukaryota; Viridiplantae; Streptophyta; Magnoliopsida; Brassicales; Caricaceae. The record is from RNAcentral.